This 554-nucleotide ribosomal RNA is filed under the name uncultured bacterium. RNAcentral describes it as "partial 16S ribosomal RNA". It matches the Rfam family "Bacterial small subunit ribosomal RNA", at positions 355 to 900 of the family's 1533-position model. The record is from RNAcentral.
UAGGGAAUCUUCGGCAAUGGGGGCAACCCUGACCGAGCAACGCCGCGUGAGUGAAGAAGGUUUUCGGAUCGUAAAGCUCUGUUGUAAGUCAAGAACGGGUGUGAGAGUGGAAAGUUCACACUGUGACGGUAGCUUACCAGAAAGGGACGGCUAACUACGUGCCAGCAGCCGCGGUAAUACGUAGGUCCCGAGCGUUGUCCGGAUUUAUUGGGCGUAAAGCGAGCGCAGGCGGUUUGAUAAGUCUGAAGUUAAAGGCUGUGGCUCAACCAUAGUUCGCUUUGGAAACUGUCAAACUUGAGUGCAGAAGGGGAGAGUGGAAUUCCAUGUGUAGCGGUGAAAUGCGUAGAUAUAUGGAGGAACACCGGCGGCGAAAGCGGCUCUCUGGUCUGUAACUGACGCUGAGGCUCGAAAGCGUGGGGAGCGAACAGGAUUAGAUACCCUGGUAGUCCACGCCGUAAACGAUGAGUGCUAGGUGUUGGAUCCUUUCCGGGAUUCAGUGCCGAAGCUAACGCAUUAAGCACUCCGCCUGGGGAGUACGACCGCAAGGUUGAAAC